UACGGAGGGGACUAGCGUUGUUCGGAAUUACUGGGCGUAAAGCGCACGUAGGCGGAUUUGUAAGUCAGGGGUGAAAUCCCGGGGCUCAACCUCGGAACUGCCUUUGAUACUGCAAAUCUCGAGUCCGGAAGAGGUGAGUGGAAUUCCUAGUGUAGAGGUGAAAUGACGCAGAUAUCAGGAGGAACACCCGUGGCGAAAGCGGCUCUCUGGGACGGUACUGACGCUGAGACGCGAAAGCGUGGGGGAGCAAACAGG
RNAcentral lists this ribosomal RNA (255 nucleotides) under uncultured bacterium. RNAcentral's name for it is "partial 16S ribosomal RNA". It matches the Rfam family "Bacterial small subunit ribosomal RNA", at positions 524 to 776 of the family's 1533-position model. The record is from RNAcentral.